CUCAGAAGGACACUGGCGGCAUGCUUCACACAUGCAAGUGCAAACGAAGCCUUCGGGCUUAGUGGCGCACGGGUGCGUAACUUGUGCGAAUCUGCCCUCUGGUACGGAAUAACUCAGGGAAACUUGAGCUAAUACCGUAUAAUGACUUCGGUCCAAAGAUUUAUCGCCUGAGGAUGAGCCCGCGUCGGAUUAGCUAGUUGGUGAGGUAAAAGCUCACCAAGGCGACGAUCCGUAGCUGGUCUGAGAGGAUGAUCAGCCACACUGGGACUGAGACACGGCCCAGACUCCUACGGGAGGCAGCAGUGGG
This 307-nucleotide ribosomal RNA is filed under the name uncultured Sphingomonadaceae bacterium. RNAcentral describes it as "bacterial SSU rRNA". It matches the Rfam family "Bacterial small subunit ribosomal RNA", at positions 23 to 358 of the family's 1533-position model. Lineage: Bacteria; Pseudomonadati; Pseudomonadota; Alphaproteobacteria; Sphingomonadales; Sphingomonadaceae. The record is from RNAcentral.